CUACGGGUGGCAGCAGGUACGAAAACUUUACAAUGCACGAAAGUGUGAUAAGGGAAUCCGAAGUGCUUACCUUCUGGGUAGGCUUUUCUUAAGCGUAAGCAACUUAAGGAAUAAGUGGUGGGAAAUACCGGUGCCAGCAGCCGCGGUAAUACCGGAGCCACAAGUGGGAAUCGUGAUUAUUGGGCCUAAAGCGUCCGUAGCCGGUUUAGUAAAUCUUUUGUGAAAUUGUUAAACUCAAUUUAGCAACGUGCAAGAGACACUGCUAGACUUGAGACCGGGAAGAGACAGAAGUAUUCCUUGGGAAGCGGUAAAAUGUUUUAAUCCUUGGAGGACUACCAAUGGCGAAGGCAUCUGUCUAGAACGGCUUUGACGGUGAGGGACGAAGGCUAGGAGAACGAUCGGGAUUAGAUACCCUAGUAGUC
RNAcentral lists this ribosomal RNA (422 nucleotides) under uncultured archaeon. RNAcentral describes it as "partial 16S ribosomal RNA". It matches the Rfam family "Archaeal small subunit ribosomal RNA", at positions 323 to 746 of the family's 1478-position model. The record is from RNAcentral.